UUCAGUCUCUUUACAGCCAGUCACUUCCACAACAUUUAGUAGUUCUACUUCUACAGCUCCUUUACACACGGUCACUUCCACAACAUCUACCAGUCCCACUAUUACAGGUGAAUGUGUUGCCGAACUGUAAUGUGGCUUUCAAGAGAAGCUCCUACUAAUACCCGUCUUCAAGAUAAACA
RNAcentral lists this long non-coding RNA (179 nucleotides) under Carassius auratus (goldfish). Its description in RNAcentral is "lncRNA (ENSCARG00000059041.1)". The record is from RNAcentral. Lineage: Eukaryota; Metazoa; Chordata; Actinopteri; Cypriniformes; Cyprinidae.